This 506-nucleotide ribosomal RNA is filed under the name uncultured Glomus. Its description in RNAcentral is "SSU rRNA". It matches the Rfam family "Eukaryotic small subunit ribosomal RNA", at positions 569 to 1080 of the family's 1831-position model. The record is from RNAcentral. Lineage: Eukaryota; Fungi; Glomeromycota; Glomeromycetes; Glomerales; Glomeraceae.
AGCAGCCGCGGUAAUUCCAGCUCCAAUAGCGUAUAUUAAAGUUGUUGCAGUUAAAAAGCUCGUAGUUGAAUUUCGGGGUUAGUAGGUUGGUCAUGCCUCUGGUAUGUACUGGUCUCACUGAUUCCUCCUUCCUGAUGAGCCGUAAUGCCAUUAAUUUGGUGUUGCGGGGAAUUUGGACUGUUACUUUGAAAAAUUAGAGUGUUUAAAGCAGGCUCACGCUUGAAUACAUUAGCAUGGAAUAAUGAAAUAGGACAUUUGAUCCUAUUUUGUUGGCUUCUGGGAUUGACGUAAUGAUUAAUAGGGAUAGUUGGGGGCAUUAGUAUUCAAUUGUCAGAGGUGAAAUUCUUGGAUUUAUUGAAGACUAACUACUGCGAAAGCAUUUGCCAAGGAUGUUUUCAUUAAUCAAGAACGAAAGUUAGGGGAUCGAAGACGAUCAGAUACCGUCGUAGUCUUAACCAUAAACUAUGCCGACUAGGGAUCGGAUGAUGUUAAUUUUUAAUUGUACU